AUACGGAGGAUCCGAGCGUUAUCCGGAUUUAUUGGGUUUAAAGGGUGCGCAGGUGGCCAUUUAAGUCAGCGGUUAAAUCGUGGGGCUCAACCCCAUUCUGCCGUUGAUACUGGGUGGCUUGAUUGCGGUCGAGGUUGGCGGAAUUCGUUGUGUAGCGGUGAAAUGCAUAGAUAUGACGAAGAACACCGAUUGCGUAGGCAGCUGACCAGACCGCAAAUGACGCUCAUGCACGAAAGUGCGGGGAUCGAACAGGAUUAGAUACCCUGGUAGUCCGCACAGUAAACGAUGAAUACUUGUUUUCGGCGAUAUAAUGUCGGAGGCAAAGCGAAAGCGAUAAGUAUUCCACCUGGGGAGUACGCCGGCAACGGUGAAACUCAAAGGAAUUGACGGGG
Molecule: ribosomal RNA, 392 nt
Filed under: uncultured bacterium
Lineage: Bacteria
Description: partial 16S ribosomal RNA
Rfam family: Bacterial small subunit ribosomal RNA
Source: RNAcentral